GCGACAUCAGCUUACAACAUACCAAUCUCAGUGCAACAGAUAAACCACAAAUCCACUCCCAAGGCAUCUCAAAGCAAGCCCCAAACGAUAUCGAUAAAUCUUCACGACGAAUAGGAAAGAAGUUUGCAUUAUCAAGAACUGCCGAACCGGGGGUACUUGCAGAUUGUUUUGUUUGUGAUUUGUUAGUUUUAGGGAAUUCUUUUCGAAAAACCGAAGAAGA
Long non-coding RNA from Hibiscus syriacus, 220 nucleotides. RefSeq lists it as uncharacterized. The record is from RefSeq and is a predicted model, not a curated record. Lineage: Eukaryota; Viridiplantae; Streptophyta; Magnoliopsida; Malvales; Malvaceae. The transcript is spliced from 2 exons.